CGUCAACGGACUCUUGGCUCGCGCUCCGCUUCGCCCCAUAUACCUCCACCCAAAUAGAAGAACCGGUCCGCCGAUUCGGCUUCGCCACCAGCUCCCUGACUCUUCAAUAAACAUCAUUGUUUCUGA
Molecule: long non-coding RNA, 126 nt
Organism: Poecilia reticulata (guppy)
Lineage: Eukaryota; Metazoa; Chordata; Actinopteri; Cyprinodontiformes; Poeciliidae
Source: RefSeq, a predicted model, not a curated record